UGGGGAAUAUUGGACAAUGGACCACAAGUCUGAUCCAGCAAUUCUGUGUGCACGAUGAAGGUCUUCGGAUUGUAAAGUGCUUUCAGUGGGGAAGAAGAAAGUGACGGUACCCACAGAAGAAGCGACGGCUAAAUAUGUGCCAGCAGCCGCGGUAAUACAUAUGUCGCAAGCGUUAUCCGGAUUUAUUGGGCGUAAAGCGCGUCUAGGCGGUUUACUAAGUCUGAUGUGAAAAUGCGGGGCUCAACUUCG
Molecule: ribosomal RNA, 249 nt
Filed under: uncultured Fusobacteriaceae bacterium
Lineage: Bacteria; Fusobacteriati; Fusobacteriota; Fusobacteriia; Fusobacteriales; Fusobacteriaceae
Description: partial 16S ribosomal RNA
Rfam family: Bacterial small subunit ribosomal RNA
Source: RNAcentral